This 813-nucleotide long non-coding RNA is filed under the name Mustela putorius furo (domestic ferret). RNAcentral's name for it is "lncRNA (ENSMPUG00000024158.1)". The record is from RNAcentral. Lineage: Eukaryota; Metazoa; Chordata; Mammalia; Carnivora; Mustelidae.
CAAUAAUAAUAACCACUUCAUUCUCCCUCCUUUAUUUUCAGUAGCCGUGAGGACCGAUGGCACUCCUGUCUGGAGCCUAGCAUACACUUGGCGCUCAGUGGACGUCAGUGGGAACAGGAGGCCCGUGUGCUCUCAUUCCCCAGGCCCAUCUUGGUCCAGGGUUGGAAGCGGGGAAUCCUCAUCCGACGGACUUUCUCUCUGCAGAACCUGGGCCUUCAGAGACACACGGCGUUGGCCUUUCUCCGCUUCACAAGGGAGUGCUUGGACACCAGCCCUCGGGUUUCUUUCUCGCCGGUCCGUCCGGUCUCUCCAGGAGAACAAUCUUCCUUUGGAAUUCUCUGCUCCCGCUCUGAAGUGCAUUCCCCUCGCCUCCCCCCGCUUUGCCAUACGCAGUGACCUUGGCAUGUCUGCCAACACUCAACAUCGUGAGGCUUUAUAAACCUCAUAUCUCAGAAGGGGCUGACAUUACAUUACAAGAGGAUCUGUAAACCUCCCCGGGAUGACGGAUGUCUUUUUUAAACAACAGACCAAGACUUCAUUUAAAUUAGUAACAUGGAGAUUAGAGGCGCUCUCUCAGCCCCUGGCUCGGCCACUGCCGCGACGCUGGGAAUAUCAGUCACAUGAAAGCUGUUAAGUUUGAGAUGGAAAUAAAUCUGGGAGCCUGUAAAAACUGUCAGCAGGUCAGGGAAGUUUAUGAACUCUUGCUGUAUCUAAUCAUAAAUCAUCAGAAUAAGCUAAAACUGAGAAGAAAAAUGUCCUCUUUUGUAAUCUAAUGCUGUCUGUUAGGGCAAUAAAACUCAAAUGAAAUGCAUG